This 315-nucleotide small nuclear RNA is filed under the name Salvator merianae (Argentine black and white tegu). RNAcentral describes it as "7SK RNA (ENSSMRG00000004030.1)". It matches the Rfam family "7SK RNA". From Rfam's summary of the family: 7SK was discovered as an abundant small nuclear RNA in the mid-70s but a possible function has only recently been suggested. Two independent studies have found that 7SK RNA binds the CDK9/cyclin T complex (known as elongation factor P-TEFb). Lineage: Eukaryota; Metazoa; Chordata; Lepidosauria; Squamata; Teiidae. The record is from RNAcentral.
GGAUGUGAGGUCAAUCUGGAUGUAUUAUCUGUCACUCCACUGAUCACAAGCAUUGAUUCUGCUGAUCUGACUGGCUAAGCGGGUGUCCUCUUCCUCUUUCAUGAUUCUGUGUGAGUUCCUUUGAAGCUGCAAGCUUAGUAGAAGAGAAUGGCCAUCCCAGGUAGAAGGAAUGGACCAUUCUUUUGUCAAAGGUAUAUAGAAUAGAUGUAAUGUCCUGCCAGAACCUCCAAAGAAGCUCAAAAUGCUGCCUUGACUGUUGGAAAAACAAAGGAUAAGAUAAAAGACAAGGAAAAAUUGAAUGAAGCAAGCAGAUUU